AUGGUUAAGUUAGAAAGGGCGCACGGUGAAUGCCUUGGCACUAGGAGCCGAUGAAGGACGGGACUAACACCGAUAUGCUUCGGGGAGCUGUAAGUGAGCUUUGAUCCGGAGAUUUCCGAAUGGGGAAACCCACUGUUCGUAAUGGAACAGUAUCUUUAUCUGAAUACAUAGGAUAUUGAAGGCAGACCCGGGGAACUGAAACAUCUAAGUACCCGGAGGAAGAGAAAGCAAAUGCGAUUUCCUGAGUAGCGGCGAGCGAAACGGAAUUAGCCCAAACCAAGAGGCUUGCCUCUUGGGGUUGUAGGACACUCUAUACGGAGUUACAAAGGAACGAAGUAAAUGAAGCGACCUGGAAAGGUCCGUCGAAGAAGGUAACAACCCUGUAGUUGAAACUUCGUUCCCUCUUGAGUGGAUCCUGAGUACGGCGGAACACGUGAAAUUCCGUCGGAAGCUGGGAGGACCAUCUCCCAAGGCUAAAUACUACCUAGUGACCGAUAGUGAACCAGUACCGUGAGGGAAAGGUGAAAAGCACCCCGGAAGGGGAGUGAAAGAGAUCCUGAAACCGUGUGCCUACAAGUAGUCAGAGCCCGUUAACGGGUGAUGGCGUGCCUUUUGUAGAAUGAACCGGCGAGUUACGAUCCCAUGCAAGGUUAAGCUGAUAAGGCGGAGCCGUAGCGAAAGCGAGUCUGAAUAGGGCGUUUAGUAUGUGGUUGUAGACCCGAAACCAGGUGAUCUACCCAUGUCCAGGGUGAAGUUCAGGUAACACUGAAUGGAGGCCCGAACCCACGCACGUUGAAAAGUGCGGGGAUGAGGUGUGGGUAGCGGAGAAAUUCCAAUCGAACCUGGAGAUAGCUGGUUCUCUCCGAAAUAGCUUUAGGGCUAGCCUCAUGUUGUGAGAGUCUUGGAGGUAGAGCACUGAUUGGACUAGGGGCCCCCAACGGGUUACCGAAUUCAGUCAAACUCCGAAUGCCAAAGACUUAUCCAUGGGAGUCAGACUGCGAGUGAUAAGAUCCGUAGUCAAAAG
Molecule: ribosomal RNA, 1024 nt
Filed under: Priestia megaterium
Lineage: Bacteria; Bacillati; Bacillota; Bacilli; Caryophanales; Bacillaceae
Description: Bacillus megaterium partial 23S ribosomal RNA
Rfam family: Bacterial large subunit ribosomal RNA
Source: RNAcentral